Molecule: long non-coding RNA, 1213 nt
Organism: Nannospalax galili (Upper Galilee mountains blind mole rat)
Lineage: Eukaryota; Metazoa; Chordata; Mammalia; Rodentia; Spalacidae
Exons: 3
Source: RefSeq, a predicted model, not a curated record
GGAACUUCAGAAUUUUGACUGCUUACAAUAACUCCACAGGCAACACCUGGGAACCAGCAUUGGAAAGAAAAUAAUCCAUCCUGUGCCAUGGAGACAAGACCAGCAGGCCACAGGCUCUUAGCUGCCAAAGCUGGAACUUGCGCCUCUGCAGCAGAGGUAGGAGGGCCCUGAGUGCACUGUCAGUGGGUUCAAUGCAGCCCCUUAGCCAUUGCUGUCGCCCUGGCCUGUGGCCAAAGCACCCACCAAGCUCCCGCAACAGACGGUGUGUCCAAGACGAUGACCACUAAGGGGUUAAAGGCGGAGAACUGGAGGUCAGAGGAGGCGCUGAGGACUUCGGUGGGAAGAUCCGGGGCUCCAGGGCCAAGAUGCUAGAGGUCGCUUACUUUGCAAGUUAAAUGUGGUCUGGCCAGGAGGAAGAUUCCAGCGCGACCAGUGCACACUUCCCAAAUGCUUUCAUCCUGAAGGAAGUCAGUGGCUGGACCAUGCUAGGAUCUCUUGGCCCAGUGCGGGAGCAGGGCAUGCUGGGACUUGUGGUUCCGCUCUGAACUGCCCUCCCUCCACCCCCCAGUCACUAGGAGUAAGAAUUGGGUUUGGAGGGGGCGGGGGUGAGGGUGGAGGGACGUGUUGGGAGGCGCUUAGCCCUGGAGCGGGCUACUCUGUGACUGCUGGUCUGACUGCUGAUGGUCAUUGGGGAGGAGGGCGUUCUAAGGGAGGCCCCAUGUCCGGACAACCCAAGCUCGUUCAGAACAGGUUUUGCUAAUGGGGAAAGAAAUACACCCAUUGCAUUUAAUGUCACUUUUGUGUGUCUAAAUAUUGUUUUAUGGCUGAUUUUUAUACUUUAGGACAUAGUACUUACUUUAUAAUGGUUUUAUAAAUGCUUACUAAAAUUCAUGCUGAAAAAGGAAUCAAAGCUCUAUUGGGAGAUAAAUGCCACCAUCAUCUGGUGGAACAUCUGUUUGCAACUGCCUUGCUUGCUAAGGCACCUGCAAUAAACUCUGUAAAAGAAUGUCCUAAUUCCUGCCUUAAACAUCUUCCUCUGCAAACAUGCCUGCAGGUGGAAUUUCCUUCGGUGGUCUUAGGGCAUUGUAAACACCUGUGCUGAUAGUCACGUAGGCUGUAACUUAGACCCACCAAUGCUGUAACAGUUAAAGAAUAAUGCCAGGGGACUUAAGAAAACAGUGAAGGAACUAAACUGGGGGUUUGAGUUUUCAGA